This 252-nucleotide long non-coding RNA is filed under the name Lathyrus oleraceus (garden pea). Its description in RNAcentral is "Pisum sativum (pea) long non-coding RNA (PSAT_LNC015203)". Lineage: Eukaryota; Viridiplantae; Streptophyta; Magnoliopsida; Fabales; Fabaceae. The record is from RNAcentral.
AAACCUGCCAGACAUGUUCUAUCAGAGGUUCCCAUAAUCAUCGUUCCAUCUUUCGAAUAUUAUCGGAGGAACGAAUACUCGUAUUCCAAGAAUAUUCUCAAGAGAAACUCUUACGAGUGUAGUAUCGCGUGACAAUCGCAUCAGAACUGACAUCUGAACGACCUCCGCACUACGGUCCUAAAAAAUAGGCCAAGACGGGUUUGGUAAACUACGGUCCUUGGCUUCUGCGGCACAUGAUUGAAAGAAUAAUGC